GUCUCAACAAAACCCACUAAUUUUACAAUUUUCUUCCAAUUCUACCCCUCUACCCUUUUAUCUAUACUAGGUUUCAGUGAUUUCGUGCUUGAUUAUUGAUGAUUGUAACCGAAGAUUCAAUGUUGGGUGAAAAUUGAAGACGCGAAUUGAAUUUGCCCUAUCGUUUCCAUUCCCUCGUCAGGCUUCUCCUGUGCCCUGAGUUGUAAUUAGGUUAUUAUGCUUUGCAAGCUCAUAACCGUCCACUCUCAAUUGAUUAGUCGAAAUUUAAGAAGAGUCCAUUCACAUCCCCUCACCGCUCUCAUCAAUUGGCAUGCGUAUUUAUGCAGAAGACACCUUGAUUAUUCUUCAAUUGUUUUCUUGGAGAACCACAACCUCACAUCAAAAUACGAUUUUCACAGUUAUAUGAUCCGUUAUAUGGAAUAACCGAAUAAGAGUUUCAAAGAAUAGUUGGAGUAAGGUAAUGAAGUUUCUUUCUUUCUUAUUUAUUUAUUUUACCCGUCUUUUGGUUAUAUGGUAUAGGUGGGAAUGAUGGAAGUUGAUCUGGUGAUUGGAUUUAUGAUGGUGCUGGUGAUCAAGAUCAGCAAUUGCAUGUUUUUACGGACCUGAAUGUUAUGCUCACCAACUGUUCGAAGAAUGUCCUCACACAAGAUCUUCAGUUGAAAUUAUCAUACAGGUACUCGAAGCUCGGGCUUGGGCUAUUUUGCUAAACGAGCUUUUUUUUAGGAUCGGGUUCGUUUAAGCUCGAGUCGUUUCAAGCUUUUUUUAGCCGUGCUCGCUCAAGCUCAUUACCACUUCUAACAGUUAGUGAAAUUGCUUAUUAUACUGAAUGUUUGGAUUCCAAAGCCACAUCCAUAACCAGCGACGUGAAGGGGCAGAACAUCGGGGAAAAAAAGAGGUCAUCUAUCUUAUAAAUCACAAUUUCAGGUAAUCUUGCUCUUGUUUGAAUAUUGCCUUCAUGAUUGAUUGGCUGUACUUUUAACUAUGUGAUCAUCGAAAGUGUAAAUGCCCACUAGCGCCAAUUCCAUUUUCCGUCGGUGCAUCAAAUGCGGAACUGCAUCUUUGUCAGACAACGGAGUUUAUGGCAAAAGUGUAUUUACAAAAUUUGCUUCCACUAUCUAAAAGUUCGAGCCUGUCACUGUGUGCAUCUCCGGUUACCUUUUAUCUUUCUAUUCGGAAUUUUUUUGUUUAUUGGUGAUAGGUUAGUUUAACCUUUACUUGAUUUUGUAAAUCUGCAUUUAGUUUAAGUUGUUGUAAGAUAAGUUAUGUUUUUGGUUUUGGAGUGUUUAUCUUCUAAACAUAAAAAUUAUGUUCUUUUUGAUGGUGCAUUACUAAAUCAACAAUAAAAAGAUAAUUUUAGAAUGUCGGAAAGUUUACUAAUAGUAUCCAGCUGUCUCUAUGGUCUGGACAUCUUGGUCUUGACGGUGAGAGGUUAGUACCAGUUUACCAAGUUAAAAAUGGUAAUAAACAUUUCUUUGAUUUUAUUUCAUCCAAGUCUUUUUUUGUUUCAGAUGUAUAAAAUUAGAGACCCCAAGCUGACAAAAAAGGAGAUCAUUAUGGCCGAGAGACAUUCAGGAGUAGUGACCAAUAAAGUUAGAGAAAUCCAAGAACACUCAGCCAAGGUUCAAAUUUAUGAUGAAGCACAGGCAAGUUUCCUUUUAGGUUUUGUUAAUUUUUUUUGUUUUUAUUUCAUUGAGUGACAUUGAUAUGAGAACUGUAUUUUCUAUCUUUUGUGGAUUUAUAUUAGCAUUUUAAUUUUAUGGUCUUUGAAAAGAGGCCUAAGGUUGUGUUUGGAAGCCAACAAUUUUAGA
Molecule: long non-coding RNA, 1808 nt
Organism: Helianthus annuus (common sunflower)
Lineage: Eukaryota; Viridiplantae; Streptophyta; Magnoliopsida; Asterales; Asteraceae
Exons: 4
Source: RefSeq, a predicted model, not a curated record